Molecule: small nucleolar RNA, 87 nt
Organism: Capra hircus (goat)
Lineage: Eukaryota; Metazoa; Chordata; Mammalia; Artiodactyla; Bovidae
Source: Ensembl
AGCAGAUGAUGGCUUUUUCUCACGAUGGUCUCUGGAGGCUACUCCGGGCAGUGCCGAUCAUGCAAACGGCUCAGCUGAUGCCAGGAA